This 2012-nucleotide ribosomal RNA is filed under the name Enterococcus faecalis. RNAcentral's name for it is "partial 23S ribosomal RNA". It matches the Rfam family "Bacterial large subunit ribosomal RNA", at positions 1 to 2012 of the family's 2925-position model. Lineage: Bacteria; Bacillati; Bacillota; Bacilli; Lactobacillales; Enterococcaceae. The record is from RNAcentral.
GAUUAAGUUAUUAAGGGCGCACGGUGGAUGCCUUGGCACUAGAAGCCGAUGAAGGACGUUACUAACGACGAUAUGCUUUGGGUAGCUGUAAGUAAGCGUUGAUCCAGAGAUUUCCGAAUGGGGGAACCCAGCAUGAGUUAUGUCAUGUUAUCGACAUGUGAAUUCAUAGCAUGUCAGAAGGCAGACCCGGAGAACUGAAACAUCUUAGUACCCGGAGGAAGAGAAAGAAAAAUCGAUUCCCUGAGUAGCGGCGAGCGAAACGGGAAAAGCCCAAACCAACAAGCUUGCUUGUUGGGGUUGUAGGACACUCUAUACGGAGUUACAAAAGAACAUGUUAGACGAAUCAUCUGGAAAGAUGAAUCAAAGAAGGUAAUAAUCCUGUAGUCGAAAACAUAUUCUCUCUUGAGUGGAUCCUGAGUACGACGGAGCACGUGAAAUUCCGUCGGAAUCUGGGAGGACCAUCUCCUAAGGCUAAAUACUCUCUAGUGACCGAUAGUGAACCAGUACCGUGAGGGAAAGGUGAAAAGUACCCCGGAAGGGGAGUGAAAGAGAACUUGAAACCGUGUGCUUACAAGUAGUCAGAGCCCGUUAAUGGGUGAUGGCGUGCCUUUUGUAGAAUGAACCGGCGAGUUACGAUCUGAUGCAAGGUUAAGCAGCAAAUGUGGAGCCGCAGCGAAAGCGAGUCUGAAUAGGGCGUUGAGUAUUUGGUCGUAGACCCGAAACCAGGUGAUCUACCCUUGGUCAGGUUGAAGUUCAGGUAACACUGAAUGGAGGACCGAACCGACUUACGUUGAAAAGUGAGCGGAUGAACUGAGGGUAGCGGAGAAAUUCCAAUCGAACUUGGAGAUAGCUGGUUCUCUCCGAAAUAGCUUUAGGGCUAGCCUCAAGUGAUGAUUAUUGGAGGUAGAGCACUGUUUGGACGAGGGGCCCCUCUCGGGUUACCGAAUUCAGACAAACUCCGAAUGCCAAUUAAUUUAACUUGGGAGUCAGAACAUGGGUGAUAAGGUCCGUGUUCGAAAGGGAAACAGCCCAGACCACCAGCUAAGGUCCCAAAAUAUAUGUUAAGUGGAAAAGGAUGUGGCGUUGCCCAGACAACUAGGAUGUUGGCUUAGAAGCAGCCAUCAUUUAAAGAGUGCGUAAUAGCUCACUAGUCGAGUGACACUGCGCCGAAAAUGUACCGGGGCUAAACAUAUUACCGAAGCUGUGGAUUGUCCUUUGGACAAUGGUAGGAGAGCGUUCUAAGGGCGUCGAAGCAUGAUCGCAAGGACAUGUGGAGCGCUUAGAAGUGAGAAUGCCGGUGUGAGUAGCGAAAGACGGGUGAGAAUCCCGUCCACCGAUUGACUAAGGUUUCCAGAGGAAGGCUCGUCCGCUCUGGGUUAGUCGGGUCCUAAGCUGAGGCCGACAGGCGUAGGCGAUGGAUAACAGGUUGAUAUUCCUGUACCACCUAGUAUCGUUUUAAUCGAUGGGGGGACGCAGUAGGAUAGGCGAAGCGUGCUGUUGGAGUGCACGUCCAAGCAGUAAGGCUGAGUGUUAGGCAAAUCCGGCACUCAUAAGGCUGAGCUGUGAUGGGGAGAGGAAAUUGUUUCCUCGAGUCGUUGAUUUCACACUGCCGAGAAAAGCCUCUAGAUAGAUAACAGGUGCCCGUACCGCAAACCGACACAGGUAGUCAAGAUGAGAAUUCUAAGGUGAGCGAGCGAACUCUCGUUAAGGAACUCGGCAAAAUGACCCCGUAACUUCGGGAGAAGGGGUGCUCUUUAGGGUUCACGCCCAGAAGAGCCGCAGUGAAUAGGCCCAAGCGACUGUUUAUCAAAAACACAGGUCUCUGCUAAACCGUAAGGUGAUGUAUAGGGGCUGACGCCUGCCCGGUGCUGGAAGGUUAAGAGGAGUGGUUAGCUUCUGCGAAGCUACGAAUCGAAGCCCCAGUAAACGGCGGCCGUAACUAUAACGGUCCUAAGGUAGCGAAAUUCCUUGUCGGGUAAGUUCCGACCCGCACGAAAGGCGUAACGAUUUGG